Molecule: non-coding RNA, 370 nt
Organism: Labrus bergylta (ballan wrasse)
Lineage: Eukaryota; Metazoa; Chordata; Actinopteri; Labriformes; Labridae
Source: RefSeq, a predicted model, not a curated record
CGACUGAACACACCUUAACCAGGAAGAACACCUGACGCUCCUUUUGAAAAUACCUUUCUCUGUUACGCGGAAAAAACGAAUGAAAGCACCGGCUGAGCAGAGUAAAGGAGGAAGUUCAAGAGGAACCCUCUGCAAGAGCGGGACUGCCAGAGUAAAGCACUUUUCAAUACUCUUGCCAAGAAGCUCAGGCUUUUGGACAGACAUGCAGCACUGACGCUCAUACAGACGCAGAGACCUGACGGACGGAGUCCAGCUGGCGAGUCAUGGCGGCAGCAAGUGGAACAGAUGUGUGAGGGACUUUGAUCUAGGGAGGCAGAGAGUUUCCACUGAAAACCUUCAGCUGGACACACCAACCCACCAACAAAUGAAC